GAGACUCUGUGCGCGUGCAUAUCAAUAAGCGGAGGAAAAGAAACUAACAAGGAUUCCCCUAGUAACGGCGAGUGAAGCGGGAAGAGCUCAAAUUUGAAAUCUUAAAGGGUUUCCCUUUACGAAUUGUAGUUUAAAGAAGUGUUUUCUGUUGGAGUUUCGGUAAAAGUUCUUUGGAAUAGGACAUCAUAGAGGGUGAGAAUCCCGUAUUUGAUCGUUACUUUCCAGCUGUGUGAUACACUUUCAAAGAGUCGGAUUGUUUGGGAAUGCAGUCCAAAAUGGGUGGUAAAUUUCAUCUAAAGCUAAAUAUUGGCGAGAGACCGAUAGCGAACAAGUACCGUGAGGGAAAGAUGAAAAGAACUUUGAAAAGAGAGUUAAACAGUACGUGAAAUUGUCAAAAGGGAAGCGUUUGACACCAGUGUUGUUUAGUUGAAAAUCAAUUCAAUAAUUUUUGAUUUUAAGUAGUAUUGACUUCAUCAGCUUGCUGCUUUCUUUUCAGGAAUUAUUGAAUGCACUUUUCAGUUAACAAGUCAACAUCAAUUUCUUUUGUUGUAAAAGGGUAAGAGGAAGGUGGCUUACGCUUCGGCGUAAGUGCUUAUAGCCUUUUACCUCUGCAGUCGGAGAGAUUGAGGACAGCAGCGUAGACUCUUCGGGGUUAGAUACACUUGUGCUAAGCUAUAGCCUUGUAUAGACAACUUGUUGACUAUGCUCAGUCAUGUAGCUUACUCGCUUGUGCUAUUUUACCUACGCUUAGGAUGUUGACAGCAGUAUAGACUGU
This 775-nucleotide ribosomal RNA is filed under the name uncultured Neocallimastigales. Its description in RNAcentral is "partial large subunit ribosomal RNA". It matches the Rfam family "Eukaryotic large subunit ribosomal RNA", at positions 23 to 638 of the family's 3401-position model. The record is from RNAcentral. Lineage: Eukaryota; Fungi; Neocallimastigomycota; Neocallimastigomycetes; Neocallimastigales.